Molecule: ribosomal RNA, 490 nt
Filed under: uncultured bacterium
Lineage: Bacteria
Description: partial 16S ribosomal RNA
Rfam family: Bacterial small subunit ribosomal RNA
Source: RNAcentral
AUUGAACGCUGGCGGCAGGCCUAACACAUGCAAGUCGAAUGGUAACAGGAAACAGCUUGCUGUUUCGCUGACGAGUGGCGGACGGGUGAGUAAUGUCUGGGAAACUGCCUGAUGGAGGGGGAUAACUACUGGAAACGGUAGCUAAUACCGCAUAACGUCGCAAGACCAAAGAGGGGGACCUUCGGGCCUCUUUCCAUCAGAUGUGCCCAGAUGGGAUUAGCUAGUAUGUGGGGUACCGGCUCACCUAGGCGACGAUCCCUAGCUGGUCUGAGAGGAUGACCAGCCACACUGGAACUGAGACACGGUCCAGACUCCUACGGGAGGCAGCAGUGGGGAAUAUUGCACAAUGGGCGCAAGCCUGAUGCAGCCAUGCCGCGUGUAUGAAGAAGGCCUUCGGGUUGUAAAGUACUUUCAGCGGGGAGGAAGGGAGUAAAGUUAAUACCUUUGCUCAUUGACGUUACCCGCAGAAGAAGCACCGGCUAACUCCGUG